Non-coding RNA from Callithrix jacchus (white-tufted-ear marmoset), 796 nucleotides. Lineage: Eukaryota; Metazoa; Chordata; Mammalia; Primates; Cebidae. The record is from RefSeq and is a predicted model, not a curated record.
AACGGUAGUUUCCCAACACUGAUAAAACUCCAUUGUUAUUUUUUCUUUUACUUCUUAUGCUUUUCUUCCUAAUCUCCUCCAGUGAACCUAGCUUUUCUAGUCCUGCCUUUUCAGACUUCCCCCCACCCCCAGCACCCUCUUUAAGGCUAAAGCUCCAUUUAAAAUGGUGUGCAUGUUCCCUGGUUUCAGCUUGAAUCUCAAAGGAAGGAUGAAAAGGAGCUUUCACUGGAGAUUUGAAGUGGCCUUUCAGUCUUGGACACAGCUGUGGGGAUCAGGGUGCUGUUGUAUGGCUCACACUGCGCGUCAGUUAUAAAGAAGACUCUGGCAGGUGUCUCCCCAGGUGGUCUCCCUCACCUGGACAACGUAAACUGACAGCUUAUUUUCACAAAUCUGAACAAGAGGAGACUAGAAAUUGUCCUACUGCCCACCCCCAGACCAAUGCAUACUGGACUUCUUCCUCUACUGUUUAUAUUAUGUAAAGUGCAGAUUUACUGAGUAUAAAACAUACAUAAUUGAGGGUUCCUGUACUCUCUCCUUUGCACAUGCAACAUGUGGAUUCAGUGCACACUAAUCAAAGCCUCACAAGAAUGUAACUACAUUUCUCAUUUUUUCUACCUUUGUUUUUUUCUUUUCUCCUUCUCCUCCAGCCCACUUUUCCCCCUUUAAAUACUGAAGCCCUCAAAACCCUUUUCAGAAAAAGUGCAGGCCACAGAUCCUACUGUGGUGUGUGUCUCUUUUUCCUUCCCCAACAAGAUGCAUUCUCAACCUUAGCAAAAUAAACCUCUGUAUUAAGUGA